RNAcentral lists this signal recognition particle RNA (303 nucleotides) under Carlito syrichta (Philippine tarsier). RNAcentral describes it as "Metazoan signal recognition particle RNA (ENSTSYG00000036668.1)". It matches the Rfam family "Metazoan signal recognition particle RNA". From Rfam's summary of the family: The signal recognition particle (SRP) is a universally conserved ribonucleoprotein. It is involved in the co-translational targeting of proteins to membranes. The record is from Rfam by way of RNAcentral. Lineage: Eukaryota; Metazoa; Chordata; Mammalia; Primates; Tarsiidae.
ACUAGGUGUGGGGGCACAUGCCUGUAGUCCCAGCUACACUACUCGGGAGGCUGAGGCAGGAGGAUCAAGUGAGGCUGGGAAUUCUUGACUGUAAUAUACUAUGCUGAUCAUUCCUCACAAAGUUCGGCAGCAAUAUGGUGACUUCCUGGGAGCGGGGAAUCACCACCAGGUUGCCUAAGGAGGGGUGAGCCAGCCCAGAUGGGAAACAGAGCUGGUCAAAACUCCUUUGCUGAUCAGUAAUGGGAUCUUGCCUAUGGAUAGCUACUGUACUCCAGCCUGGGCAAUAUAGCAAGAUCUUGCUCU